Long non-coding RNA from Sinocyclocheilus grahami, 341 nucleotides. RefSeq lists it as uncharacterized. The transcript is spliced from 3 exons. Lineage: Eukaryota; Metazoa; Chordata; Actinopteri; Cypriniformes; Cyprinidae. The record is from RefSeq and is a predicted model, not a curated record.
GAAUGUCUUGGAAAUAGGGUACAGUUUAUCCUCCCUGGUUCUUUGAGUGCAGGAGGUCUUUUAGAGCUUUAUGCAGUCAACGACACACAGACAGUCCUUCUCACACCUCACCUGGCGGCUCAGUGUGGCUAUACACAGAAAUCUGAUCCUUGGGGGAAUAAGGUAGUGUCAGCUUCCCUACAGAGUUGUUUUUGCAGAGAACCAGGGUGACAAGGAAUUUUGAGUAGCCAUGCAGUUUAAACCGUAUGAAUUCCCCACGCUAUCUGAGAAAGUCCAUGAAGUGUUCAAGUUCUGCAGUCACACCAUGACUGCACGUAAGAUUUUGUGUGAGACAAACUUUA